This 253-nucleotide ribosomal RNA is filed under the name uncultured bacterium. Its description in RNAcentral is "partial 16S ribosomal RNA". It matches the Rfam family "Bacterial small subunit ribosomal RNA", at positions 524 to 776 of the family's 1533-position model. The record is from RNAcentral.
UACGUAGGGUGCAAGCGUUGUCCGGAAUUAUUGGGCGUAAAGAGCUCGUAGGCGGUCUGUCGCGUCUGCUGUGAAAAUCCAGGGCUCAACCCUGGACCUGCAGUGGGUACGGGCAGACUAGAGUGCGGUAGGGGAGAUCGGAAUUCCUGGUGUAGCGGUGAAAUGCGCAGAUAUCAGGAGGAACACCGGUGGCGAAGGCGGAUCUCUGGGCCGGAACUGACGCUGAGGAGCGAAAGCGUGGGGAGCAAACAGG